Molecule: long non-coding RNA, 675 nt
Organism: Saccostrea cuccullata (small rock oyster)
Lineage: Eukaryota; Metazoa; Mollusca; Bivalvia; Ostreida; Ostreidae
Exons: 4
Source: RefSeq, a predicted model, not a curated record
AAGUAAUAUUUGUUAAGUCGUUCGUUUUUUGAUUAUUGAAAAAGAAGAAGGAGAAAAUGGAUUGAUUGAUACAGGGAUCCAGGAGGUUCCGAAAAAGGGACAAUGAUUCGACUGAAUGUGCCAUUCAUUUACAUGUACCAGUAUAAAUCUGUUACUGACACAUAUCCAAUAAUUCUUAUACUCAUGAAGAGUGUGGCAUAUUCCAAGAAUUGAUGCUGGGACUCAUUUUAAAUCAGAUGCUCACUUCUAGGAUGUUUCCAAGUUCUUGUUAAAAGUGUUUUAUAUGGCACCAUUCAGCUACAAAUAUUUUGCCAAUGGAACUGUGACAUCAAUCAACUGCUCAUGCACUGCUAAUUGGCAGAGAAUUUCCUUUGGGACAAGCAAACUGUUUCAAACAUUUUACACCUGCAAGUAGUGAUGAAUGUACUGGAAGGUUGUUAGGAUCUCUUCCAACAUCAUAGGUACAACUGGUCACUGUGCUUGCUUGGUUAUAUAAGCUGGCCUAUUGUUAAGGCAGUGACAUAUGUAGCUCCAAAUGAUGCUUGACUGUUUUUCUUCAAAUUAUAAGUAAACCUGGAUUGAUCUCUGAUGCAGUAGUAUUGUGCCAUGUCCAUUUUUUAAAUUCUAUCUUCCCACUGUCACAAAGUACUGAAAUAAAAAUGAUUUGAUUUUAAA